CCUCAUGAACAGUUUCUUCACAGUCAUCUUGCUCCAAUUCAUGACACUCUCAUCUCCUCUUUAUCACAUCUUGUACCAGCACAACUCGCAAUCGAAAAAUCACACGGAAUUUCAUUUUGUUCAAACUACACUAUCAUACACGGAUCAUUCCUAGACUAACUGUUACAAUAUCACCUUCAACUGCAGUAAACAAUGAAUAAUUGCAAUAAUACAAAUCACACAAAAACCAAUUCCUUUAAGGGUUCUUCA
Molecule: long non-coding RNA, 249 nt
Filed under: Linum usitatissimum (flax)
Lineage: Eukaryota; Viridiplantae; Streptophyta; Magnoliopsida; Malpighiales; Linaceae
Description: long non-coding RNA (LUSI_LNC000546)
Source: RNAcentral